Molecule: ribosomal RNA, 492 nt
Filed under: uncultured bacterium
Lineage: Bacteria
Description: partial 16S ribosomal RNA
Rfam family: Bacterial small subunit ribosomal RNA
Source: RNAcentral
AGUGAACGCUGGCGGUAGGCCUAACACAUGCAAGUCGAACGGCAGCACAGUAAGAGCUUGCUCUUACGGGUGGCGAGUGGCGGACGGGUGAGGAAUACAUCGGAAUCUACUUUUUCGUGGGGGAUAACGUAGGGAAACUUACGCUAAUACCGCAUACGACCUACGGGUGAAAGCAGGGGAUCUUCGGACCUUGCGCGAUUGAAUGAGCCGAUGUCGGAUUAGCUAGUUGGCGGGGUAAAGGCCCACCAAGGCGACGAUCCGUAGCUGGACUGAGAGGAUGAUCAGCCAAACUGGAACUGAGACACGGUCCAGACUCCUACGGGAGGCAGCAGUGGGGAAUAUUGGACAAUGGGCGCAAGCCUGAUCCAGCCAUACCGCGUGGGUGAAGAAGGCCUUCGGGUUGUAAAGCCCUUUGGUUGGGAAAGAAAAGCAGCAGGUUAAUACCCCGCUGUUCUGACGGUACCCAAAGAAUAAGCACCGGCUAACUUCGUG